CCCUUAGAUGUCCUGGGCCGCACGCGCGCUACACUGAGUGUCUGAGAUAAGAGUCUGCCUGGUCCGGCAAGGUCUAGGUAAUCGCUAAAAGACACAUCAUGCUUGGGAUAGAUUAUUGCAAAUAUUAAUCUUGAACGAGGAAUUCCUAGUAAGCGCAAGUCAACAGCUUGCGUUGAUUACGUCCCUGCCCUUUGUACACACCGCCCGUCGCUACUACUGAUUGGAUGUUUAAGCGAGGUUCUCGAACUGCUAGCGACUUAGCUUCGGUGAGGUCGCAGUGUGGGAAGUGAACCUAGCUUUGGUGUCUAGAGGAAGUAAAAGUCGUAACA
Molecule: ribosomal RNA, 329 nt
Filed under: uncultured eukaryote
Lineage: Eukaryota
Description: partial 18S ribosomal RNA
Rfam family: Eukaryotic small subunit ribosomal RNA
Source: RNAcentral